AACGAACGCUAGCGGCAGGCCUAAUACAUGCAAGUCGAGGGGCAGCGCGGUAGCAAUACUGGCGGCGACCGGCGCACGGGUGCGUAACACGUAUGCAACCUACCUUCAACUGGAGGAUAGCCCGGGGAAACUCGGAUUAAUACUCCAUAACACAGGGAUCCCGCAUGGGAAUAUUGUUAAAGCUACGGCGGUUGAAGAUGGGCAUGCGUUCGAUUAGCUAGUUGGUGUAGGUAACGGCUCACCAAGGCUACGAUCGAUAGGGGGUCUGAGAGGAUGAUCCCCCACACUGGUACUGAGAUACGGACCAGACUCCUACGGGAGGCAGCAGUAGGGAAUAUUGGUCAAUGGGCGCAAGCCUGAACCAGCCAUGCCGCGUGCAGGAAGAAGGCCCUCUGGGUUGUAAACUGCUUUUGAUAGGGAACAAAUGCCACUUGCGAGUGGAGCUGAGUGUACCUAUAGAGUAAGCACCGGCUAACUCUGUGCCAGCAGCCGCGGUAA
RNAcentral lists this ribosomal RNA (498 nucleotides) under uncultured bacterium. Its description in RNAcentral is "bacterial SSU rRNA". It matches the Rfam family "Bacterial small subunit ribosomal RNA", at positions 29 to 523 of the family's 1533-position model. The record is from RNAcentral.